Eriocheir sinensis (Chinese mitten crab) is the source of this 246-nucleotide long non-coding RNA. RefSeq lists it as uncharacterized. The record is from RefSeq and is a predicted model, not a curated record. The transcript is spliced from 3 exons. NCBI's taxonomy places the organism in Eukaryota, Metazoa, Arthropoda, Malacostraca, Decapoda, Varunidae.
UAAUGGCUGGGUUUACAAGAGGUUUUAAUAGCUGGGUUUACAAGAGGUUUUAAUGGCUGGGUUUACAAGAGGUUUUAAUGGCUGGGUUUACAAGAGGUUUUAAUGGCUGGGUUUACAAGAGGUUUUAAUGGCUGGGUUUACAAGAGGUUUUAAUGGCUGGGUUUACAAGAGGUUUUAAUGGCUGGGUUUACAAGAGGUUUUAAUAGCUGGGUUUACAAGAGGUUUUAAUGGCUGGGUUUACAAGAG